RNAcentral lists this ribosomal RNA (450 nucleotides) under uncultured bacterium. RNAcentral describes it as "partial 16S ribosomal RNA". It matches the Rfam family "Bacterial small subunit ribosomal RNA", at positions 338 to 795 of the family's 1533-position model. The record is from RNAcentral.
CCUACGGGGGGCUGCAGUUUCGAAUCAUUCACAAUGGGCGAAAGCCUGAUGGUGCGACGCCGCGUGAGGGAUGAAGGUCUUCGGAUUGUAAACCUCUGUCACUGGGGAGAAAACGCUUUGAGUUAAUAGUUCAAAGCCUGAUUUAACCCGGAGAGGAAGCAGUGGCUAACUCUGUGCCAGCAGCCGCGGUAAUACAGAGACUGCAAGCGUUAUUCGGAUUGGUUGGGAGUAAAGUGGGCGCAUGCGAUGGGAAAUCCCGAGGCUUAACCUCGGAACUGCGUCUGAAACUACUCGACUAGAGUACUGGAGAGGGAAACGGAAUUCACGGUGUAGCAGUGAAAUGCGUAGAUAUCGUGAGGAACACCAGAGGCGAAGGCGGUUUCCUGGACAGUUACUGACGCUCAGGCACGAAAGCAUGGGGAGCAAAAGGGAUUAGAUACCCGGGUAGUC